UACUCGAGUGGCGAACGGGUGAGUAACACGUGGGUGAUCUGCCCUGCACUUCGGGAUAAGCUUGGGAAACUGGGUCUAAUACCGGAUAGGAGCCAUCUUUAGUGUGGUGGUUGGAAAGUUUUUCGGUGUAGGAUGAGCUCGCGGCCUAUCAGCUUGUUGGUGGGGUAAUGGCCUACCAAGGCGGCGACGGGUAGCCGGCCUGAGAGGGUGGACGGCCACAUUGGGACUGAGAUACGGCCCAG
Molecule: ribosomal RNA, 242 nt
Filed under: uncultured Actinomycetales bacterium
Lineage: Bacteria; Bacillati; Actinomycetota; Actinomycetes; Actinomycetales
Description: partial 16S ribosomal RNA
Rfam family: Bacterial small subunit ribosomal RNA
Source: RNAcentral